RNAcentral lists this ribosomal RNA (442 nucleotides) under uncultured bacterium. RNAcentral's name for it is "bacterial SSU rRNA". It matches the Rfam family "Bacterial small subunit ribosomal RNA", at positions 20 to 507 of the family's 1533-position model. The record is from RNAcentral.
UGGCUCAGAACGAACGCUGGCGGCAUGCCUAACACAUGCAAGUCGAACGAAGCCUUCGGGCUUAGUGGCGCACGGGUGCGUAACGCGUGGGAAUCUGCCCUUGGGUUCGGAAUAACAGUUAGAAAUGACUGCUAAUACCGAAUGAUGUCUUCGGACCAAAGAUUUAUCGCCCAAGGAUGAGCCCGCGUCGGAUUAGCUAGUUGGUGAGGUAAAAGGCUCACCAAGGCGACGAUCCGUAGCUGGUCUGAGAGGAUGAUCAGCCACACUGGGACUGAGACACGGCCCAGACUCCUACGGGAGGCAGCAGUGGGGAAUAUUGGACAAUGGGCGAAAGCCUGAUCCAGCAAUGCCGCGUGAGUGAUGAAGGCCUUAGGGUUGUAAAGCUCUUUUACCCGGGAUGAUAAUGACAGUACCGGGAGAAUAAGCCCCGGCUAACUCCGUG